Molecule: transfer RNA, 71 nt
Filed under: Candidatus Nanohalarchaeota archaeon
Lineage: Archaea; Nanobdellati; Candidatus Nanohalarchaeota
Also listed under: 1 other name
Description: Candidatus Nanohaloarchaeota archaeon tRNA-Gly
Rfam family: tRNA
About the family: Transfer RNA (tRNA) molecules are approximately 80 nucleotides in length. Their secondary structure includes four short double-helical elements and three loops (D, anti-codon, and T loops).
Source: RNAcentral
GCAUUAGUGGUAUAGCGGCAGAAUUCAAGCUUCCCAAGCUUGCGACCCGGGUUCGAUUCCCGGCUAAUGCA